GGGGAUUACACAUUUCACUCUGGUGAAGCAAAAGAACAAAUCUGGCAGCAGAGGAACAAUUUAGUGUUCCCAUGCAGAUGCUGACUUUCAUUGGCAUCCUGCAUCUCAGCCUGAUGAUUUCAUUUGGCCAUCCUGAUUAACUAUUGUUUAUUGGACCACAGUUAAUGGUCUUGCCUUAAAGGUGCCUGGUUGCUAACAAAGAAGGCAUCAAGAAAAACCAGUUUCCAGUUGUCAAUUACAUUCUGGCCUCCAAGAAGAUAAACAUAGACCACUAGCCGCCCAUUGUGAAGAUUUUGUAUGACAUUUUUCACAUAAAAUGACACCUCCUUGCUGUCUUUCCAUCCAGCUGCAAAUGCUUUUUUAUUCCAACAAACUUUUGUGAAGUGAAUGUUUUAAAAGAAAUGGCUUUGGACAGGAUGUUGUACUAUUUUUAACUGUAGUGUUUUUAGUGACAUUGUUUUUAAACUGCUUUCUGUUGUUUUUAAUUGUAUGUUUUUAAUUGUUUUUAAUAUUACCAAUAGUUUUCUUCCAUUCUAAUGUUGACCUUUGUAUGUUUUAACUGUACUGUUCUAGGGAAAAGGCAGGCUAUAACUGUAAAAAUAACAUGUGCUGUGCCCUGGUAAGAGUAUAUCAAGUUUGUUGUUUUUAUUUAAAAUAUAAUUGUUCAGACCAUUUUAUUAAAUGGAAACUCACCAAGGUUUUGUCCUACAUAUGUUCAGAAUGAUCCUCUGUCAUCUAAGUUUUGAAUGUUAUAUGGAACCGGCUAGAUGUGAGAUGGUAGAAUGGAAAUGAAUAUGUCUAGUUACCAGGGUGAGACACAGAAUGCAAUGGGAAAAGGAAAUUGUGUCAAAUACAAUGAGCAGUUAGAGAGAUACAAUAACACCCAAAAUCUACAAAACAGAGAUACCUCUAUUGGGGCAACCAAAAAUGUACAAUUUUUGUGCACAAUGUACAUUUUCAAAACUCCACUGGCUUCAAA
Long non-coding RNA from Sceloporus undulatus (fence lizard), 979 nucleotides. RefSeq lists it as uncharacterized. The transcript is spliced from 3 exons. NCBI's taxonomy places the organism in Eukaryota, Metazoa, Chordata, Lepidosauria, Squamata, Phrynosomatidae. The record is from RefSeq and is a predicted model, not a curated record.